CGUGUAGGCGGCUUUUUAAGUCUGGAGUGAAAGUCCUGCUUUCAAGGUGGGAAUUGCUUUGGAAACUGGAGAGCUUGAGUGCGGAAGAGGCAAGUGGAAUUCCCAGUGUAGCGGUGAAAUGCGUAGAGAUUGGGAGGAACACCAGUGGCGAAGGCGACUUGCUGGGCCGUAACUGACGCUGAUGCGCGAAAGCGUGGGGAGCGAACA
Molecule: ribosomal RNA, 207 nt
Filed under: uncultured bacterium
Lineage: Bacteria
Description: partial 16S ribosomal RNA
Rfam family: Bacterial small subunit ribosomal RNA
Source: RNAcentral